Molecule: ribosomal RNA, 497 nt
Filed under: uncultured bacterium
Lineage: Bacteria
Description: partial 16S ribosomal RNA
Rfam family: Bacterial small subunit ribosomal RNA
Source: RNAcentral
GAUGAACGCUGGCGGCGUGCCUAAUACAUGCAAGUCGAGCGAACGGACGAGAAGCUUGCUUUUCUGAUGUUAGCGGCGGACGGGUGAGUAACACGUGGAUAACCUACCUAUAAGACUGGGAUAACUUCGGGAAACCGGAGCUAAUACCGGAUAAUAUUUUGAACCGCAUGGUUCAAAAGUGAAAGACGGUCUUGCUGUCACUUAUAGAUGGAUCCGCGCUGCAUUAGCUAGUUGGUAAGGUAACGGCUUACCAAGGCAACGAUGCAUAGCCGACCUGAGAGGGUGAUCGGCCACACUGGAACUGGGACACGGUCCAGACUCCUACGGGAGGCAGCAGUAGGGAAUCUUCCGCAAUGGGCGAAAGCCUGACGGAGCAACGCCGCGUGAGUGAUGAAGGUCUUCGGAUCGUAAAACUCUGUUAUUAGGGAAGAACAUAUGUGUAAGUAACUGUGCACAUCUCGACGGUACCUAAUCAGAAAGCCACGGCUAACUACGUG